ACAUGCCAGUUGGUACAUUUUUGUUUUGCUCAGAAAGAGAUGGAGAUAGUGCUUGUUUCGAGGAACCUCGAUCUGUUGUGCAACUCAUGUUGGCAAUGAGCUCAGAACUCGAAGAAGAGCAACGACAGAAAAGGAAUUUUCAAAAUGUAGAUUACGGGCUCAUUUUGGAGCGUCUAAAACGCUAUAAUCCAGUACGUAAGGAAUAUUCACCUCUUCAUCAAUCAAAUAUAAAUCCUGUUGAAGCAGAAACUAUGAUACAGUUGGAAGCUAUUGGAGUCAAGAGAUUACAGGUAAGUUACAUUACCAUAAUACAUGAUGAAAGUCAUUUUUUCUUUAAAGGAUAUUGAUCUCAACAAGACGGCAGGGAAAUCAGGGCAACCGUAUGACUACCUCUCUGAUAGCAAAUGUAGCAAGCUGGACGGAAGAUUAUCUAACACAGAGGAGGAAUAUCUUUGAUCCUACAAAGAAACUGAAUGACAUAAAAAUAGAUAUGGCUUAUCUGGAAUGGUAUAAGAAGGUGUCGGUUGAGCAGGGAGGAUACUAUGAUAGUUACAAACUUUGGCGCUGGAAAAGUAGGGAUGAAAUCAAAAGCAGACAUGAAAUCAUGAAGCGCAAGAGAAUUCUCACUCGAUACUGGAGAGGCAUAGUUGAUGAAGCAGAGCAAAUGCCUCAAAAAGAAGGUUUGGCUUUUCGGACUCGUGGGCUUUAUGCAGGAACCAAUUACCGAAGAAUGGUUGAACCACUUGACAUAGCUGAAUACUACGGUGAGGGAAAGAAAGAUUAUCUAACUCAAGGAAGACCCAAACAUUACAGGUUGUUGGAACAAUGGUUGAACGAGGACAAGCAGCCUGGGACUGGGAAUAGAAACUCAAGGAGCAAGGCUUGUAGUCUCACAGAGGAUUCUUGCUUUUGGGCUCAUGUGGAGGAGGCUACUAUAUGUUGCAAUGUAUUGAAGGAUGGCCAAAGCAGCCUAAAAGACAGAGAAACAUCAAGGAAAAGGCUCGUUGAAUUUGAGCAAUAUGCCAUGGAUUUGAUAAAUACCUAUUCGGUGUCUGUUGAGGUUUUCCUGGAGCAGAGCAGCUUCAUGCAAUGGUGGAAUGGGUAUUCUGAACUCAUCGACCUCAUAGGAGGAUUUUUAUGUCAGUCUCCCUUGAGGGAUUUCAUGAAGAACAAGCGCUAUAGAAAUUAUGCUUAGGGAGUCGGAAAAUAAUAAUGAUGUGUAAAAAUUGCUUGGGUCAUUUUUCAACACAAUAAUAGAAAGGUAACAGCAGCCACCAUCUCAGGAAAGGAGUCACGAGAUUCCAAAAUGGAAGUGUGGGCCAUUUUUUAGUUGUAGCAUCCAAUGCCUGCAUGGAUUUGAACCCUAUCUAUCACCCCUUUCAAUGGAGAAACCCCAAAAAAAAAAAGAAUUAAAAAGAAAAGGUUGUCAACUCAUCCUUUUAGGCUUUUACUAGUAGAAGAAUAACUAAUGACAUAAGCACUUUUUUUUUUCCUUUUAAAAAAAAAAAAAAAAAAAA
RNAcentral lists this long non-coding RNA (1517 nucleotides) under Coffea arabica (coffee). Its description in RNAcentral is "long non-coding RNA (CARA_LNC004828)". Lineage: Eukaryota; Viridiplantae; Streptophyta; Magnoliopsida; Gentianales; Rubiaceae. The record is from RNAcentral.